This 844-nucleotide long non-coding RNA is filed under the name Mytilus galloprovincialis (Mediterranean mussel). The record is from RNAcentral. Lineage: Eukaryota; Metazoa; Mollusca; Bivalvia; Mytilida; Mytilidae.
GUCGUAAUUUGAUUUUUUCUGUCAUUAAAGGUUUUGUCCGACGACACGUGCCAGUAAUUAACAAGGUAAUAAAAUCACUGACCCAUGCAGAAAUAAAGAAACAUAACAAAUUACACGGCUUCCACCUUUUUGUUUGCCGUGUUAUAUAAUUGUUUGUUUUUGUAGGAUUUAAAACAAAACUUUGUAUUUCUUUCUUUUUUGUGUGUAUUUUUUUAUAGGUUAAUUAUUUUGACUUUAUGAUACUUUUUUUGGGGUUUUUAGUCAAACUUCAUUGUAAUUCGAAGUUGAUGAUUUUUGUAAAACGAUUGUUUUAGGUGGUGUUUGUUUCGUUGUAUUUGUAAAAUUGUAUGAAAGAUUGGUUUGUCCUAUAAUAGAAUAUGGAGCAGGUAUAUGGGGUAAAAAAAAACAUAUUCCUGUAUUAACUCUAUACAUAAUAGGGCUUGUAGAUUUUUUUCUCGGAGUACAAAAAUAUGCACCAAAUGCUACAGUUACUAGAGACUUAGGAAUACCACCUAAUUUUGAUAAACAGUGGAAAAGUAUUAUUCGUUUGUGGUGUAGAUUAAAUAACAUGAGCUCAAAUCGGUUAAGUGCAAAAGUUCACAAGUGGGCUGAUAGUGUGAGUAUUAAGCAUAAGUGUGUUAAAAACUGGAUUUUCUUAGAAAAAAAAACCUUCUAGCUAAAUUCAAGUCAUUUAUCGUGUCCUGAAAAUAUGGACACUAACUUUGUUGUAAUUUUUUUUAUGUCAAAAUUGUUCCUGUAACAAAUACCAUGUACAUGUACAUAUAUGAGGCUAUGAAAGUAAAUAAAUGGAGUUUACAGAAAUAAAGAUGAUAAUGGGAUAAGC